RNAcentral lists this ribosomal RNA (1469 nucleotides) under Escherichia coli. Its description in RNAcentral is "partial 23S ribosomal RNA". It matches the Rfam family "Bacterial large subunit ribosomal RNA", at positions 419 to 1873 of the family's 2925-position model. Lineage: Bacteria; Pseudomonadati; Pseudomonadota; Gammaproteobacteria; Enterobacterales; Enterobacteriaceae. The record is from RNAcentral.
GGGACACGUGGUAUCCUGUCUGAAUAUGGGGGGACCAUCCUCCAAGGCUAAAUACUCCUGACUGACCGAUAGUGAACCAGUACCGUGAGGGAAAGGCGAAAAGAACCCCGGCGAGGGGAGUGAAAAAGAACCUGAAACCGUGUACGUACAAGCAGUGGGAGCACGCUUAGGCGUGUGACUGCGUACCUUUUGUAUAAUGGGUCAGCGACUUAUAUUCUGUAGCAAGGUUAACCGAAUAGGGGAGCCGAAGGGAAACCGAGUCUUAACUGGGCGUUAAGUUGCAGGGUAUAGACCCGAAACCCGGUGAUCUAGCCAUGGGCAGGUUGAAGGUUGGGUAACACUAACUGGAGGACCGAACCGACUAAUGUUGAAAAAUUAGCGGAUGACUUGUGGCUGGGGGUGAAAGGCCAAUCAAACCGGGAGAUAGCUGGUUCUCCCCGAAAGCUAUUUAGGUAGCGCCUCGUGAAUUCAUCUCCGGGGGUAGAGCACUGUUUCGGCAAGGGGGUCAUCCCGACUUACCAACCCGAUGCAAACUGCGAAUACCGGAGAAUGUUAUCACGGGAGACACACGGCGGGUGCUAACGUCCGUCGUGAAGAGGGAAACAACCCAGACCGCCAGCUAAGGUCCCAAAGUCAUGGUUAAGUGGGAAACGAUGUGGGAAGGCCCAGACAGCCAGGAUGUUGGCUUAGAAGCAGCCAUCAUUUAAAGAAAGCGUAAUAGCUCACUGGUCGAGUCGGCCUGCGCGGAAGAUGUAACGGGGCUAAACCAUGCACCGAAGCUGCGGCAGCGACGCUUAUGCGUUGUUGGGUAGGGGAGCGUUCUGUAAGCCUGUGAAGGUGUGCUGUGAGGUAUGCUGGAGGUAUCAGAAGUGCGAAUGCUGACAUAAGUAACGAUAAAGCGGGUGAAAAGCCCGCUCGCCGGAAGACCAAGGGUUCCUGUCCAACGUUAAUCGGGGCAGGGUGAGUCGACCCCUAAGGCGAGGCCGAAAGGCGUAGUCGAUGGGAAACAGGUUAAUAUUCCUGUACUUGGUGUUACUGCGAAGGGGGGACGGAGAAGGCUAUGUUGGCCGGGCGACGGUUGUCCCGGUUUAAGCGUGUAGGCUGGUUUUCCAGGCAAAUCCGGAAAAUCAAGGCUGAGGCGUGAUGACGAGGCACUACGGUGCUGAAGCAACAAAUGCCCUGCUUCCAGGAAAAGCCUCUAAGCAUCAGGUAACAUCAAAUCGUACCCCAAACCGACACAGGUGGUCAGGUAGAGAAUACCAAGGCGCUUGAGAGAACUCGGGUGAAGGAACUAGGCAAAAUGGUGCCGUAACUUCGGGAGAAGGCACGCUGAUAUGUAGGUGAAGCGACUUGCUCGUGGAGCUGAAAUCAGUCGAAGAUACCAGCUGGCUGCAACUGUUUAUUAAAAACACAGCACUGUGCAAACACGAAAGUGGACGUAUACGGUGUGACGCCUGCCCGGUGCCGGA